GACGAACGCCGGCGGCGUGCCUAAUACAUGCAAGUUGAGCGAUGAAGAUUGGUGCUUGCACCAAUUUGAAGAGCAGCGAACGGGUGAGUAACGCGUGGGGAAUCUGCCUUUGAGCGGGGGACAACAUUUGGAAACGAAUGCUAAUACCGCAUAACAACUUUAAACAUAAGUUUUAAGUUUGAAAGAUGCAAUUGCAUCACUCAAAGAUGAUCCCGCGUUGUAUUAGCUAGUUGGUGAGGUAAAGGCUCACCAAGGCGAUGAUACAUAGCCGACCUGAGAGGGGGAUCGGCCACAUUGGGACUGAGACAAGGCCCAAACUCCUACGGGAGGCAGCAGUAGGGAAUCUUCGGCAAUGGACGAAAGUCUGACCGAGCAACGCCGCGUGAGUGAAGAAGGUUUUCGGAUCGUAAAACUCUGUUGGUAGAGAAGAACGUUGGUGAGAGUGGAAAGCUCAUCAAGUGACGGUAACUACCCAGAAAGGGACGGCUAACUACGUG
RNAcentral lists this ribosomal RNA (497 nucleotides) under uncultured bacterium. RNAcentral's name for it is "partial 16S ribosomal RNA". It matches the Rfam family "Bacterial small subunit ribosomal RNA", at positions 28 to 507 of the family's 1533-position model. The record is from RNAcentral.